AGAGUUUGAUCCUGGCUCAGGAUGAACGCUAGCGGCAGGCUUAACACAUGCAAGUCGAGGGGCAGCAUGUCCAGCAAUGGAUGAUGGCGACCGGCGGAAGGGUGCGUAACGCGUGAGCAACAUGCCCUAUACAGGGAGAUACACCAGGGAAACUUGGUCUAAUAUCCCAUAGCAUUCAUUGAAGGCAUCUUUAAUGAAUUAAAGCUUCGGUGGUAUAGGAUUGGCUCGCGUGACAUUAGCCAGAUGGUGAGGUAACGGCUCACCAUAGCAAUGAUGUCUAGGGGUUUUGAGAGGAAGGCCCCCCACACUGGGACUGAGACACGGCCCAGACUCCUACGGGAGGCAGCAGUGAGGAAUAUUGGACAAUGGAUGGAAAUCUGAUCCAGCCAUGCCGCGUGCAGGAAGACGGCCUUAUGGGUUGUAAACUGCUUUUAUACGGGAGCAAUAAGGGUUACGAGUAAUCCGAUGAGAGUACUGUAUGAAUAAGGAUCGGCUAACUCCGUGCCAGCAGCCGCGGUAAUACGGAGGAUCCGAGCGUUAUCCGGAAUUAUUGGGUUUAAAGGGUGCGUAGGCGGCCAUUUAAGUCAGCGGUGAAAUUUUGCAGCUUAACUGUAACAGUGCCGUUGAUACUGUUUGGCUAGGAUUUGGUUAUAGUGUGCGGAAUGUGUGGUGUAGCGGUGAAAUGCUUAGAUAUCACACAGAACACCGAUUGCGAAGGCAGCACACUAAGUCAUUAUUGACGCUGAGGCACGAAAGUGUGGGGAUCAAACAGGAUUAGAUACCCUGGUAGUCCACACUGUAAACGAUGAUAACUCGCUGUCGGCGAUACACAGUCGGGGCCAAGCGAAAGC
This 851-nucleotide ribosomal RNA is filed under the name uncultured bacterium. RNAcentral's name for it is "bacterial SSU rRNA". It matches the Rfam family "Bacterial small subunit ribosomal RNA", at positions 8 to 858 of the family's 1533-position model. The record is from RNAcentral.